This 303-nucleotide ribosomal RNA is filed under the name uncultured bacterium. RNAcentral describes it as "partial 16S ribosomal RNA". It matches the Rfam family "Bacterial small subunit ribosomal RNA", at positions 507 to 807 of the family's 1533-position model. The record is from RNAcentral.
AGCAGCAGCCACGGUAAUACGUAGGUGGCAUGCGUUGUCCGGAAUUAUUGGGCGUAAAGGGCUCGCAGGCGGUUUCUUAAGUCUGAUGUGAAAGCCCCCGGCUUAACCGGGGAGGGUCAUUGGAAACUGGGAAACUUGAGUGCAGAAGAGGAGAGUGGAAUUCCACGUGUAGCGGUGAAAUGCGUAGAGAUGUGGAGGAACACCAGUGGCGAAGGCGACUCUCUGGUCUGUAACUGACGCUGAGGAGCGAAAGCGUGGGGAGCGAACAGGAUUAGAUACCCGCGUAGUCCCUGUCUCUUAUAC